This 253-nucleotide ribosomal RNA is filed under the name uncultured bacterium. RNAcentral describes it as "partial 16S ribosomal RNA". It matches the Rfam family "Bacterial small subunit ribosomal RNA", at positions 524 to 776 of the family's 1533-position model. The record is from RNAcentral.
UACGGGGGGGGCAAGCGUUGUUCGGAAUUACUGGGCGUAAAGGGCUCGUAGGUGGCCAACUAAGUCAGACGUGAAAUCCCUCGGCUUAACCGGGGAACUGCGUCUGAUACUGGAUGGCUUGAAUUCGGGAGAGGGAUGCAGAAUUCCAGGUGUAGCGGUGAAAUGCGCAGAUAUCUGGAGGAACACCGGUGGCGAAGGCGGCAUUCUGGACCGACAUUGACGCUGAGGAGCGAAAGCCAGGGGAGCAAACGGG